Molecule: non-coding RNA, 992 nt
Organism: Paramuricea clavata
Lineage: Eukaryota; Metazoa; Cnidaria; Anthozoa; Malacalcyonacea; Plexauridae
Source: the annotation of a GenBank genome assembly
CGAUUCGUCAUCAAUCACGCCAUCCUGGCUAGUACAACCGGCACUUUGUACCUACCAAAUCCUGACAAAAACUUCCGGCUGUACUAGCCAGGAUGGCGUGGCCUGACGUGAGCGAGUUAAAAUUUUCGUGGACGUCAAACAAUAAGGGAAACGACUAGAGUUACUUUUAUUUUUUUAUUUUAACAAUUUUAUUGAGAAUUCUACAACGUUUUAAACACAACAGUUCUAUGUAGAAAUAAGUAGAAUACUCAAAUGGACAAUAUCAAGCACGAACGAGACAUAAAGUCCCAUGCAAGGUGCUUACCAUUCUAAAACUAUACAAAACAAUAAAAUAGUACAAAAUACAAUACAAAACAGCACAAACAUGAAACACAGUUAUUAGCCGUUUUCACAUCAGAAGACGGACAAGUCGUCCAGACGAACAAACCGUCCCAAAAUCGUCUUUUAGUCGGACAAUCAUCAGAUGUGAAAACGUGUCGGACAAAAUUUUAGACGAACAAGUCGUCUGAAUUGUUCGACUACUUGACUGUCUGUGAAGACGACCCUGGAGACGACCCGUUCGCCCAGACGACCCGUCCGCCUCUAAUGUGAAUAGGGCUAUUUACUUAGUUCUAUGACAUGGACAGUCACGCACUAAUGACCAUGUACAUGGCAUUUCUAUGUCGAACAUUGUUCCGAGCAAGUGUUCAUAUGUGCUUCUAAUGUUUCUUUUAAACGAGGAGAGGGUGGCGAAGGUGGUAGGAGGUAGAAUUUUACAGGUAUAGUUCCAUAUUUUAACUAGUCGGUUGAAAUAGGAUCCUUUGAAUGUGUUGGAUUUACAGAGGGGGACUUUAAGGGUGAGGGAGGGAUUUUGACAGAGUCGGGUCCGAUUGUUGUUGGAAAAGGAGACAAAGGUGUUAACGUCCAAAUCUGUGUUGCCAAAGAGAGCCUUGAAGAAGAAUACCAGAUCAGAAAUCUCUCUUUCAUAGCAGAGGGGGAGCAGGCUGAGAUUC